This 615-nucleotide ribosomal RNA is filed under the name uncultured bacterium. Its description in RNAcentral is "bacterial SSU rRNA". It matches the Rfam family "Bacterial small subunit ribosomal RNA", at positions 338 to 945 of the family's 1533-position model. The record is from RNAcentral.
CCUACGGGAGGCAGCAGUAGGGAAUUUUGGACAAUGGGCGAAAGCCUGAUCCAGCAAUGCCGCGUGAGUGAAGAAGGCCUUCGGGUUGUAAAGCUCUUUUGUCAGGGAAGAAACGGUGAGAGCUAAUAUCUCUUGCUAAUGACGGUACCUGAAGAAUAAGCACCGGCUAACUACGUGCCAGCAGCCGCGGUAAUACGUAGGGUGCAAGCGUUAAUCGGAAUUACUGGGCGUAAAGCGUGCGCAGGCGGUUUUGUAAGUCUGAUGUGAAAUCCCCGGGCUCAACCUGGGAAUUGCAUUGGAGACUGCAAGGCUAGAAUCUGGCAGAGGGGGGUAGAAUUCCACGUGUAGCAGUGAAAUGCGUAGAUAUGUGGAGGAACACCGAUGGCGAAGGCAGCCCCCUGGGUCAAGAUUGACGCUCAUGCACGAAAGCGUGGGGAGCAAACAGGAUUAGAUACCCUGGUAGUCCACGCCCUAAACGAUGUCUACUAGUUGUCGGGUCUUAAUUGACUUGGUAACGCAGCUAACGCGUGAAGUAGACCGCCUGGGGAGUACGGUCGCAAGAUUAAAACUCAAAGGAAUUGACGGNGNGAGAGNGCGAGACGACGAGAGGAGGAG